This 413-nucleotide long non-coding RNA is filed under the name Jatropha curcas. RNAcentral describes it as "long non-coding RNA (JCUR_LNC002985)". Lineage: Eukaryota; Viridiplantae; Streptophyta; Magnoliopsida; Malpighiales; Euphorbiaceae. The record is from RNAcentral.
UUUGCACAUUGGAAAGUUUCAGUUCGGUUUUGCUUUUUAGUAGUCACUGGCUCACUGCUUCUGACUCUGCACUAUUAAACAGCUGCAGUGCUCCUAUCUCAAGAACAUAAAAAGAACCAUCAAGCCAUCAAAUCCAGAAUAAUAAUAAUCGAGUCUCAUUUUGGAAUGAGAAUUACAUCACCUGCAUCUAACGCAUUUCCUUCAAAUCAAACAAAUCCAGAAUAAUAAUAAUCGAGUCUCAUUUUGGAAUGAGAAUGACAUCACCUGCAUCUAACGCAUUUCCUUCAAAUCAAAGCCCUAACUACUCUCAGAAUAGAGUGUAAUACUCGAGUUCUAGGGCUGAUCUUUCUGAUAAGUGAAAUAAAGGUAAUAAUCUAGAUAUGGAGUGACGGAGACAUUUUGAAAUUUAGGGU